AUAAAUUAUACCCCACGUAGCCACAUUCUUGACUUGACCCUUCACUUCAUUUGCUCUUUCCUUUUCUUUACACUUCACCUCUUGAAUUCUCUCUGGGUAUAACUCUGAUUUCCUUUGUUUCUUUCCAAACAAAGGGGCUGAUCCUCAAAUGGGUUCUCUUUGAAUCCCAAAACAAUUACUGGGUUUUGAUUGAACAUUGAACAACCAAAACAAAGAGAGAGAGGCUGAGAGGGAGAGGCAAUGGCCGUGCCAUGGGCCAUGACUCUGUGGAUGGCAAAGAUGGUUUGGAUGGCUCUGUCUGGGUGGGUGUCUUCCUGUUUGACUGUUGCUGAUGAGGUUGCUGGCUCUCUUAGAAGCGGUGAUAUUGGAGCCUUCCAUGUUGGCUGAUUGGACUGUCAAAUUCACAACUCCAAAGCUUUCUGCUACUUAGGCAUAAUGAAAGGAAAAGAAGGUGAAUUUGCUACAUGGAAAAAAUUACUCUCAGUAUUUAUGACUACCUAUAGUGAUUAAAAAGAUCAGCUGAGGCUAGUUGGAAACAAGAGAGGAGAUUGAAUACAUGGUUUGGGGAUUUAAAGCCCUCUCUAAGUUCAGUAGUUGAAUACUCUGUGCAAAUCUUCUUAAAUGGUUUAUGAUUCAUUUUCCAUUUUAAAACAAAUUGUAAAGCUUUGACAUACUUUAUACAAGAGGUUUGAUAUUUGUUAUUGGGAUGGGGGAAAAGAGGGAGAGAGAGAGGGGGGGUGGGGUGGUUUGAAUUGGUGUGGUGCUUUAGGUUUGACAAGUUCUGUAAAAUUGACAAGGUUGUAUGAUAAAAAUGAAACAUAAAUGUUUGGAUUCCAAAUAAAGGCCUAAUCCUUGUUUUUA
Molecule: RNA transcript, 861 nt
Organism: Quercus robur (English oak)
Lineage: Eukaryota; Viridiplantae; Streptophyta; Magnoliopsida; Fagales; Fagaceae
Exons: 3
Source: RefSeq, a predicted model, not a curated record